Fundulus heteroclitus (mummichog) is the source of this 429-nucleotide long non-coding RNA. RefSeq lists it as uncharacterized. The transcript is spliced from 4 exons. The record is from RefSeq and is a predicted model, not a curated record. NCBI's taxonomy places the organism in Eukaryota, Metazoa, Chordata, Actinopteri, Cyprinodontiformes, Fundulidae.
AGCGUAUUGUUCCUCAGUCCCUCCAUCUGUUUUGACAACUCUUCUUAAGAACCGCCCUCCUGGCACACCUGCCUGUCCAUCCUUCAGAGAUUCACCAUAGUCACCUUGCCUGCACCACAGGUCUCCUGAGGAAGACUACAGACUGUUCACCUCCUACAAGUGAUUUUCUGGCUGACCUCCUGGAACAAUGGCUCUUCUUUAAAUCAUCGUUCCCUCACCUCCUGGUGAACCCUCCAACAUUUCACAGAGCCACAACUCACACCUUGACAAGAAAGACCAAAGACACUUGUCAUCUCCACCAAUCUCCUGCCUAACUCAACCAGUGUGGAUAAAGUCGUCUUGUCUGCACCAUGCCGUCCUGGGUUCUUGAUCCAUAGCAAGAAGAAUCAUCAAACUUUGCAGAUUCACCAAUAAACCUUUUAAACUUUC